CACGCACGUAAGCUGUAAGUACCUACGUGGCUAUACGUUUUGCUCGUACAACUGGUAUGGUUAAAUAUCUAGACAUCUGAUAUAUAUAUAUAUAAUAUAUAUAAUAUAUAUUAAAUUAUUUAAACGUGUACGAAAACGCGGAAGAAAUCGCGCUCAUGUGUUGAGGAUAUCAUUUAAAACCGACCUAACCAAACCGGACCGGUCUCUUCGAGAUUUUAAUUCAAUAUAGCAUUUAUAUUAUGUAUUAAACGCUUGAUGUCCGUGAUCUCACGUCACUCAGUGCUCUGUAGUUAGUCGUCGUCGAUCGUGUGAUACUGUACCAAGACGAAGGUGUCUGAACGAUUUAUAUUUUAUAAUAUAGUACAAUAUUGCAGGUGUAAUUGCUAUAUUGUAUUUGGUAAUAUAGUCAUUAUCGUAUUAUUUGGAUUUUCCUGACGUUUUUUUUGCGUCGAACCCGUAUCGUUACACAACGGGUAAACCGAAAAAUUUUACGUUGUUGACGCUGACGAAGGAAUAACCAUAUUAUACAGAAUGACGACCAAAGUCGAUUCAGUUACACAGUUUGUCGACAGAUUCCUUGGAUUGGGUAUGAAAAUUCUGGACGUGAAAGUAAUUUUCAGCGCGCUCAUGGAGACUUUGUUAGCUUUGUCCAGUAGUUGUUUCCCUGCAGGAAUAGAAGCGUACGAUGACGACGACGAAGACGAAGUUAUGCAAACUAAACAAAAUAAGAUUAAACAAAACUGAAAAUUAACUUACAAAACCGGCUGACUAGAAAAGAAAAAUGAAAAACUCUUCGAUUGAAUGAAUAAAAUCGAUUGUUACCUACCCGUCCUGAUUUACUAUUUUUAUUUAUCUAGUUUUAUGUGUAUUUAAGGAAAACUCCUUUUUACAAGUAUAAUAUUAUGACGUACUUUUAAUAAAGUAUUAGUUAUUAUAAA
Molecule: long non-coding RNA, 938 nt
Organism: Aphis gossypii (cotton aphid)
Lineage: Eukaryota; Metazoa; Arthropoda; Insecta; Hemiptera; Aphididae
Exons: 2
Source: RefSeq, a predicted model, not a curated record